GACUCUGGGAUAAGCGUUGGAAACGACGUCUAAUACCGGAUACGAGCUUCCACCGCAUGGUGAGUUGCUGGAAAGAAUUUUGGUCAAGGAUGGACUCGCGGCCUAUCAGCUUGUUGGUGAGGUAAUGGCUCACCAAGGCGACGACGGGUAGCCGGCCUGAGAGGGUGACCGGCCACACUGGGACUGAGACACGGCCCAGACUCCUACGGGAGGCAGCAGUGGGGAAUAUUGCACAAUGGGCGAAAGCCUGAUGCAGCAACGCCGCGUGAGGGACGACGGCCUUCGGGUUGUAAACCUCUUUUAGCAGGGAAGAAGCGAAAGUGACGGUACCUGCAGAAAAAGCACCGGCUAACUACGUGCCAGCAGCCGCGGUAAUACGUAGGGUGCAAGCGUUGUCCGGAAUUAUUGGGCGUAAAGAGCUCGUAGGCGGUUUGUCGCGUCUGCUGUGAAAUCCCGAGGCUCAACCUCGGGUCUGCAGUGGGUACGGGCAGACUAGAGUGCGGUAGGGGAGAUUGGAAUUCCUGGUGUAGCGGUGGAAUGCGCAGAUAUCAGGAGGAACACCGAUGGCGAAGGCAGAUCUCUGGGCCGCUACUGACGCUGAGGAGCGAAAGGGUGGGGAGCAAACAGGCUUAGAUACCCUGGUAGUCCACCCCGUAAACGUUGGGCGCUAGAUG
RNAcentral lists this ribosomal RNA (674 nucleotides) under Mycetocola sp. RNAcentral describes it as "bacterial SSU rRNA". It matches the Rfam family "Bacterial small subunit ribosomal RNA", at positions 134 to 822 of the family's 1533-position model. The record is from RNAcentral. Lineage: Bacteria; Bacillati; Actinomycetota; Actinomycetes; Micrococcales; Microbacteriaceae.